This 161-nucleotide small nuclear RNA is filed under the name Rosa chinensis. RNAcentral's name for it is "sRNA RchiOBHm_Chr5g0068281". It matches the Rfam family "U1 spliceosomal RNA". From Rfam's summary of the family: U1 is a small nuclear RNA (snRNA) component of the spliceosome (involved in pre-mRNA splicing). Its 5' end forms complementary base pairs with the 5' splice junction, thus defining the 5' donor site of an intron. Lineage: Eukaryota; Viridiplantae; Streptophyta; Magnoliopsida; Rosales; Rosaceae. The record is from Rfam by way of RNAcentral.
AUACUUACCUGGACGGGGUUUCUGGGCGAUCAAGAAGGCCCAUGGCCAAGAUUGGUGACCUCCAUUGCACUUGGGAGGGGUGCCCAUCUAUGGUCUCCCAUACGUGGGAGAGCCAACGUCAUAAUUUGUUGCAAGGGGGCCUGCGUUCGCGCAACCCCCAC